UACGUAGGGUGCGAGCGUUGUCCGGAAUUAUUGGGCGUAAAGAGCUCGUAGGCGGUGUGUCACGUCGGCCGUGAAAACCUGCAGCUUAACUGUGGGCGUGCGGUCGAUACGGGCAUCACUGGAGUUCGGCAGGGGAGACUGGAAUUCCUGGUGUAGCGGUGAAAUGCGCAGAUAUCAGGAGGAACACCGGUGGAGAAGGCGGGUCUCUGGGCCGAUACUGACGCUGAGGAGCGAAAGCGUGGGGAGCAAACAGG
Molecule: ribosomal RNA, 254 nt
Filed under: uncultured bacterium
Lineage: Bacteria
Description: partial 16S ribosomal RNA
Rfam family: Bacterial small subunit ribosomal RNA
Source: RNAcentral